This 913-nucleotide ribosomal RNA is filed under the name uncultured bacterium. Its description in RNAcentral is "bacterial SSU rRNA". It matches the Rfam family "Bacterial small subunit ribosomal RNA", at positions 1 to 917 of the family's 1533-position model. The record is from RNAcentral.
UAGAGUUUGAUCCUGGCUCAGAUUGAACGCUGGCGGUAUGCUUAACACAUGCAAGUCGAACGGUAGCAGCUCUUCGGAGGCUGACGAGUGGCGGACGGGUGAGUAACGCGUAGGAAUCUGCCUGUUAGUGGGGGACAACUUAGGGAAACUUAAGCUAAUACCGCAUACGCCCUACGGGGGAAAGGAGGGGAUCUUCGGACCUUUCGCUAACAGAUGAGCCUGCGUAGGAUUAGCUAGUUGGUAGGGUAAAGGCCUACCAAGGCGACGAUCCUUAGCUGUUCUGAGAGGAAGAUCAGCCACACUGGGACUGAGACACGGCCCAGACUCCUACGGGAGGCAGCAGUGGGGAAUAUUGGACAAUGGGCGAAAGCCUGAUCCAGCAAUACCGCGUGUGUGAAGAAGGCCUUAGGGUUGUAAAGCACUUUCAAUUGGGAGGAAAAAACAGAGGUCAAUACCCUCUGUCUUGGCAUUACCUUUAGAAGAAGCACCGGCUAACUCCGUGCCAGCAGCCGCGGUAAUACGGAGGGUGCAAGCGUUAAUCGGAAUUACUGGGCGUAAAGAGUGCGUAGGCGGCUCGUUAAGUCAGAUGUGAAAGCCCUGGGCUCAACCUGGGAACUGCAUUUGAAACUGGCGAGCUAGAGUUGAGUAGAGGUAAGUGGAAUUUCAGGUGUAGCGGUGAAAUGCGUAGAUAUCUGAAGGAACACCAGUGGCGAAGGCGACUUACUGGACUCAAACUGACGCUGAGGUACGAAAGCGUGGGUAGCAAACAGGAUUAGAUACCCUGGUAGUCCACGCCGUAAACGAUGUCAACUAGCCGUUGGUCCUGUAUACAGGAUUAGUGGCGCAGCUAACGCAUUAAGUUGACCGCCUGGGGAGUACGGCCGCAAGGUUAAAACUCAAAGGAAUUGACGGA